AACGGUCUUUUAGGAGACAGUGGCGGACGGGUGAGUAACGCGUAAGAAUCUACCUUCAGGUUGGGGACAACCACUGGAAACGGUGGCUAAUACCGAAUGUGCCGAGAGGUGAAAGGCUUGCUGCCUGAAGAAGAGCUUGCGUCUGAUUAGCUAGUUGGUAGUGUAAGAGACUACCAAGGCGACGAUCAGUAGCUGGUCUGAGAGGAUGAUCAGCCACACUGGGACUGAGACACGGCCCAGACUCCUACGGGAGGCAGCAGUGGGGAAUUUUCCGCAAUGGGCGAAAGCCUGACGGAGCAAUACCGCGUGAGGGAGGAAGGCUCUUGGGUUGUAAACCUCUUUUCUCAGGGAAGAACAGAAUGACGGUACCUGAGGAAUAAGCAUCGGCUAACUCCGUGCCAGCAGCCGCGGUAAUACGGAGGAUGCAAGCGUUAUCCGGAAUGAUUGGGCGUAAAGGGUCCGCAGGUGGCAUUGUAAGUCUGCUGUUAAAGAGUUUGGCUCAACCCAAAUAAGAGCAGUGGAAACUACAAAGCUAGAGUGUGGUCGGGGCAGAGGGAAUUCCUGGUGUAGCGGUGAAA
This 578-nucleotide ribosomal RNA is filed under the name uncultured cyanobacterium. RNAcentral's name for it is "bacterial SSU rRNA". It matches the Rfam family "Bacterial small subunit ribosomal RNA", at positions 65 to 686 of the family's 1533-position model. Lineage: Bacteria; Bacillati; Cyanobacteriota. The record is from RNAcentral.